AUCCUUCCGCAGUUUAUACAUUAAAAUUGAAAUGGUAGAGUGAAGAUGUCCAUGCCACCUGCGCAAGGAUAACACGCAAACUUAAAGGGGCCGAGUUGCCUGCUUAU
Small nuclear RNA from Amblyraja radiata (thorny skate), 107 nucleotides. The record is from RefSeq and is a predicted model, not a curated record. NCBI's taxonomy places the organism in Eukaryota, Metazoa, Chordata, Chondrichthyes, Rajiformes, Rajidae.